This 107-nucleotide ribosomal RNA is filed under the name Escherichia coli. RNAcentral also lists the same sequence under 1 other name. Lineage: Bacteria; Pseudomonadati; Pseudomonadota; Gammaproteobacteria; Enterobacterales; Enterobacteriaceae. The record is from RNAcentral.
CCUGGCGGCAGUAGCGCGGUGGUCCCACCUGACCCCAUGCCGAACUCAGAAGUGAAACGCCGUAGCGCCGAUGGUAGUGUGGGGUCUCCCCAUGCGAGAGUAGGGAA